GCCUAACACUCUCUCAACUGUGUCUUUCCUUAUCCACCCAACACUCCACCGCAACACUCCACCGUACGGACCGACCAGCUGCCGGACCGUGAGCUUUGAGCAUCGGCUUCCAGGUGGGAGGCGCAUCUAGAGACCACCAUGUCAAGUUCGAUCUGGAGGCACAUCCGGCCCCAGUGGAGCCUGGGGUUCUAGCAGCGGAGGGGCUGCGCGAAGCGUGGCAACGCGCAGUGGCUGGUGGUGGGGGCGGCAAGGGAAGCGAGGCGGGGACGCGAGGGGUCGGUGGACGUCUCCGCUGACUCAGUCGGCGGGAGCGGGAGGUGCGAGGCGCAGGGGAGCUUACUCUCCGGGCACGCAACGGUCGGCACCACGGCGGCCGCGACGGAGGUCAACGGCGGCAGGGGCGGGGACCUCGGGGCCGCGGCGAGGCGGCGCUGGGAUCUGCCGUCGGGGAAGUCCUUGGCGUGGUUGGACCCCGUGAACUUGCCGUCGGGGAAGUCCAGCUGUUGCAGUUUCUGUGGCGAGCCUCUACAGUUCGUUCUCCAGAGUCCAUCAGUCACACCCAGGAAGCCUCUCCAAUCGGACAAUACUUCUCACAGUCAAGAAGAGGACUCAUAUUCUGUCACUUUGGCUUCCUUUUCAAAUAUGGAUCAAGUUGAAUUCUCUAGUGGAUCUUAUUGGGGCACAAGCAGUGACUGUCUGAAGUCUAAUUCCUGGGUGUUCUUGAGCAGCCAAAUCUGGUGAAGCUGAUUGGCUAUUGCGUUGUGGAUUCAGAAGCAAGCACAGGGUGCUGGUUUAUGCAUUCAUGCCCAACAAGACUUUGGAUGAUCACCUAUUCAACUGAGCAUAUCCUCCCCUGCGCGAGGCCUGGAUUUCCACCAUGAAGGAGUACGAGAAGUUAAGUUUUAUUUCUAGACCAGAACUAUGCAUGAUCAGAAUCUCUGAACUGUACCGCGCUAAAAACGCAUUGCAGUCACGACACGUUGAAUACAUUCUCUGAAACUUUAAAAUGAAAAAAAAGCCGUGCACACAAACUUUCUCAGCUGAAUGUGCAUGCAAAUUUUUUAAAGAAUGCAGAGACUGUAAUUAGUGGUUAAGAUCUGAUCCAAACUUUUGGUGUGACAGGUCAUCUACAGGGAUUUCAAAGCGCCCAACGUUUUUCUGGACGCCAAAUUCAAGCCAAAACUGUAAUAAUGACUUGUUGGGAUUGACCAAACUUGCUGAGAAGUUGCAGUGCGUUACCUAUAUAUCAGUAGUAGGAGAAGCACAGUGGAAUGCACAAGUGGACCUGGUUCUUCACGCGGCGUUCACAGAUCUUUGUUGGCGUCUAACAUGGUUUCGCCGAAGGAGGUCGACGGUGAUGACGAAGCCGAUGUGAUGUCGUCGAUGCCUUGAAAUCCAAGCGCAGCAAUCGUUUUUCUUUUGGGUCGUUGAUGAUACUUCGGAUGAUCGGCCCUCAGAUCGGCGCGAAAGAUGGAGCUUGGCCACGGAGGAUCGACGAUGAACGCGGCGGCAGCCUAGCAGGUCUCCAAUCGGCGCAACAGACGCAGCUGGUCACGGAGGAUCGCACCUGGAUGCGGUGGCCGCGAAGGAUCAACGAUGGACGCGGCGGCCGCCCAACAGGUCUCCAACGUCGGCAGCCGGCGGCCCAGUGCGAUACGGCGGAGAGUGUUUUCUCCUCCACGGCCGGGAUCGGCAAUAAUGGAGGUUGCGGGUUUUUUUAUUCACGAAGGUUUUUUUUGUGAUACGGUGGAUUCACGGAGAGUCGUGAGGGCGAAGAGGCGGAGAGUUGAGAUGUGGAAGGUCUUGAUCAUAUUUUUAAUCUGGGCCGUCUAAUCUAUAGGACAUGUGCUGUGAGUCGUUGAUCUUGCAGGUAGGAUUUGCAUGGAGUAGAUUUUAAUUAUAGUAGAGAUAAAGAAGCCGAUCGGAGAAUUUCCGUACUACA
Molecule: long non-coding RNA, 1942 nt
Organism: Sorghum bicolor (sorghum)
Lineage: Eukaryota; Viridiplantae; Streptophyta; Magnoliopsida; Poales; Poaceae
Exons: 4
Source: RefSeq, a predicted model, not a curated record